GAAACUUUCGCCCUCUCCCUCUUCAACAACAAGAUGAUAAACGAGAAAACUCCACAGAUAUCCCCCGAUGUUUGCCGUCCAUGUUGCGUCUCUUUCAACCUCAACAAGAAGAACAAACACAACCUGUUGCCAUGCAGGACCGGGAGAGCUUCCUUCCGGGAAAAGCCGGACUACACGCAGACUUUAGAGGCGAUAACGGUAGCAAGGGUGACACCGUGCGAUGGCUUUCACAAAGCGAAAGCGGUGUGUACAAGAUGCCGUUCAAUGUUGAGUAAAUACAUAAGAACGUGUACGAGAUGGGCAGGAUCACAGCUUUUAUCCGGGAGAGAGCAGCAAGGCUGUCGGACACCAAGGCAUCUCCAUGUAUCACUUCUCCAAUGGUGCGUCUCUUCUGGCUACUUAGAAUCAAAAUAAUUGUUUCUUAUUGUGUUUUGUGUUGCUCAAAGGGUGUGAUCUAGGAUUUGUUUAUCUGUUGAUUGCUAUGAUUACAUGUACCCUCAAAUCUCCUCCAUGGUUAUCAAAUGCUUAUGUUGGAUGAAUAUGUUAAUUGUUGGAAAGCAGAAGAAGAGAUGGCUUCUUCACUGCCUCGGGGUUGGCUGCACGGAAGUUGGAUUGAAUUGGUGAUCCUCUUGUCUUGUGUGUCCCGAAGAUUAUUGAUGUGUCCUUGUGUUGACAAUAAGUCAUGGUGAGAGCCUAGUUGAAUGAUGCUGGACCCGGUGAAUGGCGCAGUCCUGCCUGUUUCUGUCCUUCUACAGGGAUGGACGAGGAUGGCAGCGAAAAGCUCAGACUCCCCUAUUACUCCCCUAUGAUUCUGAACGUUGAUACUUUGAUUUCAACAACUCGCUCCAAACCUGCAGUCCGAAUCGGACUGACCAAGGACGACUUUUAUCCCUGGCAAUCAUCUCUAUUGCGAUGAAGAGACUUUCAAAACUGAAAUCAACUAAAGUUGACAUCUGCAACAAAGUCAAAGUCACUGAUAUCUUUGUCCAAACGAAAUGGACACUGUUUAAUGAGUAUGAAUAGUGGAAGUGCUGGAACACCCACCUGUAGCCGUCAUUUCACACCUGCCGACCUCGACAAGUCUCCUACAGGCAGUGUCUGUCUGAAACCUGGAUCCGUCCCGCGUUUAAGGUUUCCCCAAAGCUAAUGCCCAAGACUGCCAAACCACCAGGUGAGUUGCACGACUAAUGUAUUCAACCUUUAUAACAUCAUGCAUAAUUACAGCUGUAUAGUCGGGAUUUCAGUUACUGUUGGGGCCAUUGAUAGUGUUGUGUUUUGUUGGUUGCGUUACAUUUCAACAUUUAAGCAAUUGUCAUUCAUUAGCUUUAUUAUACCUUAAAUAUAUGUAUUGUACUUGAGGUUUUAAUUUUUUAAUUUUUUCCAGGCUCAGCAGAAGAUGCAGCUGGGAGAAUUCAAGAUCUUAGAUUAAGUGGAAACAGUUCUUUCACUCCUAAUGAACACCUUUUGGGCCACAUGAAAAAAUAUGUUAUUAUUAUAUUGUGCAUCCUUGGUGCUGACACCGCUGAGAGUGACUAGAGACGCAGCCUGUCAGACAGAGAGCUCGGGGGCUCUGCAAACCGAGGAGAACCGGAAUCCUUCAAAGAGAACCGAGGCGUUCCAAGUGAAGGUGCCCGUGAAGGAUGAAGGCGAGGAAGAAGAUAUCCCCUGGGUGAGGGGACGCCGAGAGGAAAGCGAGGAGCAGGAGGACCGAAAGCGCCCAGUUAGCUCUGCCGCUGCUGGCCCCCCAUCCAACGUUAGCGCUCUCUCGGAAACGCCCUCUCCUCGGCCUCGGGAAGGAGGAUGUACAAGAAGAGACAGGGACGACCGUGAAUGACGAGGAGACGCUUUUCACUGGCCGGACUCUGGCGCCCCCUAGUGCUCUGUGUGUGAACCGCAUGUAGAGGUGGCGCAGGGAUACGGAGAGGAGGAAGAUGACAUGUUCCAGUGGCGGUCGGACUUCGGAGGAGGCGGCAUCUUCGUUCCGUCUCCACGGUAACAACGAUUCCACGACGGCUCUGACAUCAUCCGGUUCUAACCGAGGCGGGAGAAUAGCCUUGAAGUAGGGUAAACAAACUUUUGGAUCACAAUUUUCCCACUGAACCUCAGACUGUUCAACAAAUCUGUUGACUUUUACUUUGUACACACAAGACUGGAAAGGCUGGCUGUCACCUCCGACACAUUCUCUGAUUCGACGGGUUCGCCGUGAGUGGAUAUUUCAUCCGUCAACCGUUCGGCCCAAACUCUCGACUGAGCUGCAAUGCCAGACAAUAAUAAUACUGUCACUCAAAAUGAGGGUCUAUCUGUCGGAUGUCUGUUUAACGGACCAAACUUGUCAGAACUCAAGAAUGCACACACACACGCCCACACACACACACACACACACACACACACACACACACACACACACACACACACACACACACACACACACACACACUAAAGCAUCUGUGUGCACACAUAUUAACAAUUUCUGAAGUCAUAAAUACCGUUGAUAACAAUGUUUAUCACAUUGAUAGGGUUCUGUUCAACAUGGUCGUCAACAAAGUUAACUCCAAUGUAACGUCUUAUUGAUUUAUUAGAGUUGUACUAUGCGGAAAAGGCCACAAGGUGGCAGUAUGUGCUAAAGUCGGAGAGCAGCGCUCUGAAUUUCCAAGUAAACAAUUAAUUUAAUUGAAAUAUCAAUUUGUGUUUUUGAUAACGCUCGUUUACCGCAUUGCAAUCGGAAUAUAUACUGCUAGUAUAUGGGUUUAAUGUAAAAAAAAAAGUCUCACUCAAUUAACUUUGUCAUAAACAUUUUUAUGUUUCCCCAAUCUCGGAGAUGAGUAACAAAAAUACAGUUGUUCAAUAAUGUUCAUUUACAUAUUCAUGAGCAUGUACAAGUGAGAGCAGUCGAACAAAAAGUGCUUUUUUUUUUUUAAACAAGGAAUCAUCUUUGAAUAAUCACGUCAUCAUUGGUAAACCAACUAAAAAGAAAAAAUUCCAUUCAUCUGAAUGGAAAAUGGAAAACAAUCCGUCCAGAUAAAAACGUUGAGUCUCAGACGAGAGGAAUCAAACACAUUUCCGUUAGUGGAUCGUAAAACAAAUUUGUGUUAAAAAUAAUCAUCAACUGCUGUGUUUUUGUGAUCCCCAGAUGGCGAGCUGAAUACCUCAGACAGUCAAUAAGUCAAAACAGGUCUUAAAUCUAUUACAUUUUGCACAACGCUUUGUAUGGCACGAGAGCCAUCCUCUGCUGAAACAUUUCCUUGUAGGGCGAAGUCUGGGCCAGUACAACACUAGAUGAGGUCGCCGUUUACGUUUAUCCACGUUGGACAAGAUGAAACCCCCCUCCGACUCAUAUUAAACACAAUUUCACGAGGGGAGAACUAUUAGGUAAACCUAAUAAAUAAAACUAAUAUUUCCAGAAUCAACGUAAUCUCACACGCACCCACACAAUCACUGUGCAGACAUGACUGGGAGCCCCUAACCUAUGUUUUGUUAUAUUUGAUGGUGCAUAACAAGAAUAGUUCCAAUAUCGUUUUGUUGCCUCCAUGGCUUUUUAAUUAAUCUUUUUGCUCAUGUGAAAGAACACGCUGAACCAAAAGGAAAUCCAAUUAGUACACAAAGAGCAGUCACUGCGCUCAUUUACGUGUUCAUCGUCUCCCCGCCUGCCAACAGGUUUUAGAGGCUGGGGGGGAGGCAGGUUAAGAGGGUAGAGGUCAUGCCAGGGUAUAUAAUCUAAAUCAAAGCAAUGUACACAGAAGCCUUUAUAUAGCCUUUAUAUCAGGGCCUUAAGCCCCAGUGGGCGUCGUAUGGUUGCCAGUCAUUGUUUGACCCCGCCCACCUGGCGCGACUAGAGCUAUGAAAGAAGGUCAAGUUAAUUGAAGCAGGAUUUUGAGGAGGGGGGGGGUUACCUUGAAUUCUUUAAAGACCUGGCUAGGGGUCCCAGAACGGAUUAACCAACUCAUGAGGGUCAGUGGAGAGAGGAAAUUAAAAGUCGUGGGAGAAUUCAAACUAUUGGAUGGACGCGUGAAGAAAUUGAGUGGCAACAAAAUGCCGCCCCCUCAUGGCAAACUAACAAAGCCUCCGUUUAGUAGGCCUAAUGCUUAAAUAACAUUAGUUAAAGAAAGAAAAUGAUUAGUGGGAAAUGUCUUUCUCAGAGCGACCUCAACAGUAGAUUGUCUGUUUAUCUUUGGAACAAGGUUAGGUCAGCUUAAGAAACCCUGACUAAAUCAACCCUGUCCUCCGUCAAGCUUUCCUCGAGUGUCAUGGCCGUUUAAACCUUUCAUUAAAUAGACAAACAAGAACGCUAAGAAAAGGAGAAGAUAGAGUUGUGUGUGUAUGUGUGUGCGUGCGUCUGUGUGUGUGUAAGCUGACCCAACAGUGAUGUCUGUCUCUUAAUAAAUGCAUGAGGGCUGGCAUGCGCUUUUUUUCUUUCCAUGGAUGAUUU
Long non-coding RNA from Gadus chalcogrammus (walleye pollock), 4426 nucleotides. RefSeq lists it as uncharacterized. The record is from RefSeq and is a predicted model, not a curated record. Lineage: Eukaryota; Metazoa; Chordata; Actinopteri; Gadiformes; Gadidae. The transcript is spliced from 3 exons.